GAAGUUUUCCUUUUUUAAAUCUCCUGCUUGAUGAGUCACAAAAUGCCACUGGCACUAUAUUACUAGUCACUCUAUAAAGCGGAUGCCAAGCACAGAUGGUGAAGAUGUUCCUGGCUUCCACCACUAUCUUGACAGUCCAAAUGCAGUCAGAGAUCACUGGAGAAGGGUAUAUGCCACACCUCCCAGCUGAGACAGCAAAACCUUCAGUCUCUUUCUAAAUGCUCUCUUCAGAACAUCAGUGAUUCAGGAACUGAAAUGAGCCCUACGUUAUAAUGUUUUGUCAAUAAAAAAGACUGGGUCAAAAUCACAUUACUGUUUGAAUGAAAGGAAAGAAGAUAUAAUGAACAAAAACAGAAGUGGAGAGUAGAUGCCACAACAAUGAGGAAAAGUUUCUGUUAUAAGAUGAACACAAAGCAUAUAGAAACUUGACGUUCUGGAGGAUUAUCAAACCCCAAAUGUGAUCUAAAACUGCAUUACAAAUAGAAGCUUUAACUGAAGUGUCAGACUCCUAUCUCUGAUUUGGAAAUCCCUUUGGCUCAUCGUGAAGGUAGCUGCUGUCAUAAGAAACUAGAUGUUUGAA
Leopardus geoffroyi (Geoffroy's cat) is the source of this 580-nucleotide long non-coding RNA. RefSeq lists it as uncharacterized. Lineage: Eukaryota; Metazoa; Chordata; Mammalia; Carnivora; Felidae. The record is from RefSeq and is a predicted model, not a curated record. The transcript has 4 exons.